UACAGAGGUCUCAAGCGUUGUUCGGAUUCAUUGGGCGUAAAGGGUGCGUAGGUGGCGCGCUAAGUCGGGUGUGAAAUUUCGGAGCUUAACUCCGAAACUGCAUUCGAUACUGGCGUGCUUGAGGACUGGAGAGGAGACUGGAAUUCAUGGUGUAGCAGUGAAAUGCGUAGAGAUCAUGAGGAAGACCAGUGGCGAAGGCGGGUCUCUGGACAGUUCCUGACACUGAGGCACGAAGGCCAGGGGAGCAAACGGG
This 253-nucleotide ribosomal RNA is filed under the name uncultured bacterium. RNAcentral's name for it is "partial 16S ribosomal RNA". It matches the Rfam family "Bacterial small subunit ribosomal RNA", at positions 524 to 776 of the family's 1533-position model. The record is from RNAcentral.